GGAGUCUGGACCGUGUCUCAGUUCCAGUGUGGCCGUUCACCCUCUCAGGUCGGCUACGCAUCCUCGCCUUGGUGGGCUGUUAUCUCACCAACUAGCUAAUGCGCCGCAGGUCCAUCUUUCAGCGAGGCUUUAAAGGCCCCUUUUAGAAUCAGGAGAUGCCUCCCGAUCAUUUAUCCGGUAUUAGCCAAAGUUUCCCUUGGGUAUCCCAAACUGUAAGGCAGGUUACCUACGUGUUACUCACCCGUUCGCCACUAGGAUUCUGCCGAAACAAAAUCCCCGUUCGACUUGCAUGUGUUAGGCACGCCGCCAGCGUUCGUCCUGAGCCACGGAGUCAAACUACU
This 341-nucleotide ribosomal RNA is filed under the name uncultured Anaeroplasmataceae bacterium. Its description in RNAcentral is "partial 16S ribosomal RNA". Lineage: Bacteria; Bacillati; Mycoplasmatota; Mollicutes; Anaeroplasmatales; Anaeroplasmataceae. The record is from RNAcentral.